UGGGGCUGUAACUCAGUGGUUGAGUGCUUAUCUUACAUGCAUGAGGCACUGGGUUCGAUCCUCAGCACCACAA
This 73-nucleotide transfer RNA is filed under the name Marmota monax (woodchuck). Its description in RNAcentral is "tRNA.Val". It matches the Rfam family "tRNA". Rfam says of the family: Transfer RNA (tRNA) molecules are approximately 80 nucleotides in length. Their secondary structure includes four short double-helical elements and three loops (D, anti-codon, and T loops). Lineage: Eukaryota; Metazoa; Chordata; Mammalia; Rodentia; Sciuridae. The record is from RNAcentral.